GUCUUGGUUGUCAAGGCAGCGGGCCGGGCGACCGGAAGCACGGUGCGGGGUUGUGCACCGUCCCGUCACCCUUGGAGACGCUGGUGUUGACCUCGGCGGCGGCGGAGGAGGAGGAGUGGGGCUUUAUCUCUGCUCUCCUUCGCUGCCGUGGGGUAAGAUGAACUCCAGAACUAAUUACCGUCUUUAAAGCGAACAUCCAGCACCGGACCAGAGCGAUAGACUGAAACUAUUUCUAAGAUGUCUCUGCAAAAGUUGAUUUUAUCACAGAAGAGGAGCUCUCCAUCAAAUCAGAAGCCAACAGCUCCUGCAUUCAGCAGAGGCAUGGAGAAGGCCAUGGCAGAUGUCAGAAGAGUACCCAGGUUUGCGGAAGACAAAAGAGGCUUCACAAAAAGAUACAGCUGCUUCCAAAAUUCUGAUGGAAAUAUCGUGAAGUCUAAUUGGACAGCUGAAUUAACUGAGCACCUAAGCAAGACCAGAUCCCACUUUUGAAUUGAAAAAUCCCAAGGUUGACAAUAUUAUUCAGAUUCAGAAAAUAGCCCUGAAGAAAGGAAAACUCACACCCUGCAUUGUGGACAAGGGGGUGGUGAACAGACGAGCUGACUGACACAGGAGGCUACAUUACCAGUCCAAGCAAACCUGGGUAUAUAUGGCAUCCCAGGACAAGGCUGUAUCUCAGGUGAAAUGGAAUGUUCAGCAGUGCAGGAAGAAGGUCAAUGAGCUUCUAUGCUCUGCAGGGGAAACAAAAUAUGUCAUUCAUAAACCUGCCUGGGAUGGUGCAUUUGAAGUAAAAAAAAGUUGUCAGCUUUUGUUGAUGAUUCAAAAGGAUCCUUUGACACCAACGUCCCUGACAAAGAUCCUGCAAUGUACUGGAGUGGUGGUUUUUGGACCCAUCAACUAAAGUAGUAACAGCGGAAGCACUGCUUGAAGAUGAAAAAGAUGACAGAAGUAGCUAUAGCAGCUAGUGUGAUCACACAAGCGGAUGGGGUAUGUGAUAGACAAUAUCUUAUGUAAAAUUCACUGUCAUCUAGCGAUUUGUAUGCAAGGCAGUAGUCAAUGUACUGCGCACAUGUUAUUUCUCAUAUUUUGGCUUUAUGCGCCUUUUUAAAUUUAACAGUGGCACAUAUGUAAAACAUAUGCCUUUCCAUAUUAUCGUUUUUUGAAUU
Rhincodon typus (whale shark) is the source of this 1163-nucleotide long non-coding RNA. RefSeq lists it as uncharacterized. The record is from RefSeq and is a predicted model, not a curated record. Lineage: Eukaryota; Metazoa; Chordata; Chondrichthyes; Orectolobiformes; Rhincodontidae. The transcript is spliced from 6 exons.